UUAACUCAUAUUUGUAAGGAAAAGGACCGUUUGCGUACGUUUUCCGCUAGGGGCGCUGUUCCAACUGCAUACAAAAUUGGGCUA
RNAcentral lists this microRNA precursor (84 nucleotides) under Bombyx mori (domestic silkworm). RNAcentral's name for it is "mir-2807 microRNA precursor family". It matches the Rfam family "mir-2807 microRNA precursor family". The record is from Rfam by way of RNAcentral. Lineage: Eukaryota; Metazoa; Arthropoda; Insecta; Lepidoptera; Bombycidae.